AGUAAGGAAUAUUGGUCAAUGGGCGGAAGCCUGAACCAGCCAUGCCGCGUGCAGGAAGACUGCCCUAUGGGUUGUAAACUGCUUUUAUCCGGGAAUAAACCACAUUACGUGUAAUGUGCUGAAUGUACCGGAAGAAUAAGGAUCGGCUAACUCCGUGCCAGCAGCCGCGGUAAUACGGAGGAUCCAAGCGUUAUCCGGAUUUAUUGGGUUUAAAGGGUGCGUAGGCGGCCUGUUAAGUCAGGGGUGAAAGACGGUAGCUCAACUAUCGCAGUGCCCUUGAUACUGAUGGGCUUGAAUGGACUAGAGGUAGGCGGAAUGAGACAAGUAGCGGUGAAAUGCAUAGAUAUGUCUCAGAACACCGAUUGCGAAGGCAGCUUACUAUGGUCUUAUUGACGCUGAGGCACGAAAGCGUGGGGAUCAAA
RNAcentral lists this ribosomal RNA (422 nucleotides) under uncultured Pedobacter sp. RNAcentral describes it as "bacterial SSU rRNA". It matches the Rfam family "Bacterial small subunit ribosomal RNA", at positions 353 to 772 of the family's 1533-position model. The record is from RNAcentral. Lineage: Bacteria; Pseudomonadati; Bacteroidota; Sphingobacteriia; Sphingobacteriales; Sphingobacteriaceae.